UCCAGACGUCACGGUAGCUGAGCGCGAGCGAGUUUCUUCUCGCGCUCCCUCACGCGCAGCUACUUCACGCGAAUUCCUCCCCCUCAGCUCCCCGUCUCCUGAUCACCUCCAACCGCAGUUUGCCAGAACCGUCGAAAAUGCCUUUGACCGUGUGAGGCGGGUUGUCGUGAGAACUCUUGAGGGGAAGGAAGGCGGUGUUGGCGCUGCCCCUGCCCACUCCGCUUAUAACAACCUCUCUGUAGGUAGAAAUGGAGCAGGUGAAGUUUCCCAACCCUGGGUUAAGUUUCUCUCACGCGCUUACGUGGCGGGCCGCGUUCAGAUUAUUAUAAACCAUUUUGUGAAUAAUAAGCAGCCCUUUAGUUAAUUGAUUAAGUUAAAUGUAAAUGCAAGGUAACUUAUAAUUAACAAAAGGUGUUAGCUCAUUUGUAAAAAGCCAAAGACCACAUGUUGGCCUUUUUAUGUAACAAAACCCCCUUGACGGUACUACAUAAAACAAUUUACACAAAGCAACUCCAAAAUAAUGAAUUAUUAUUAUUAUUAUUAUUAUUAUUUAUUCCCCAGCCACUCUGGGCGGCUCCCAAUCAAGUGUUAAAAACAAUACAGUGGUACCUCAGGUUAAGUACUUAAUUCGUUCCGGAGGUCUGUUCUUAAUCUGAAACUGUUCUUAACCUGAAGCACCACUUGAGCUAAUGGGGCCUCCUGCUGCUGCCACGCCACCGGAGCCCGAUUUCUGUUCUUAUCCUGAAGCAAAGUUCUUAACCUGAAGCACUAUUUCUGGAUUAGCGGAGUGUGUAACCUGAAGCGUAUGUAACCUGAGGUACCACUGUACAGCAUUAAAUAUUAAAAACUUCCCUAAAUAAAACGUUUCAUUUAUCAAUCAAAUACGAUAAAAAACAGAUUAAAAACAUUUCAAAAGCUAAUUAAAAUCAACAAUACGCUAAAAAUUAUAAGAUAUCAAUCAAAUCAAAAGUUAAGAAUGGAGUGGAAGUAUUUCGAAGAUUAUAUGUCAAAAUAUUAUUCUAAAAAUGACAUGCUAAUAGGCUUAAAAUAAAAAAUGUAAGCAGUAACAAAACCAAUAAAGAAAGUGUUCGGUAGAUUUAUUGCUUUAUUGUUCGGCACUUGGGGCUGCUUUCGUCUCGUCCUGGCUUAGAAUCAUAGAAUCAUAGAGUUGGAAGAGACCACAAGGGCCAUCGAGUCCAACCCCCUGCCAAGCAGGAAACACCAUCAGAGCACUCCUGACAUAUGGUUGUCAAGCCUCUGCUUAAAGACCUCCAAAGAAGGAGACUCCACCACACUCCUUGGCAGCAAAUUCCACUGUCAAACAGCUCUUACUGUCAGGAAGUUCUUCCUAAUGUUUAGGUGGAAUCUUCUUUCUUGUAGUUUGGAUCCAUUGCUCCGUGUCCGCUUCUCUGGAGCAGCAGAAAACAACCUUUCUCCCUCCUCUAUGUGACAUCCUUUUAUAUAUUUGAACAUGGCUAUCAUAUCACCCCUUAACCUCCUCUUCUCCAGGCUAAACAUGCCCAGCUCCCUUAGCCGUUCCUCAUAAGGCAUCGUUUCCAGGCCUUUGACCAUUUUGGUUGCCCUCCUCUGGACACGUUCCAGUUUGUCAGUGUCCUUCUUGAACUGUGGUGCCCAGAACUGGACACAGUACUCCAGGUGAGGUCUGACCAGAGCAGAAUACAGUGGCACUAUUACUUCCCUUGAUCUAGAUGCUAUACACCUAUUGAUGAGGCCCAGAAUUGCAUUGGCUUUUUUAGCUGCCGCAUCACACUGUUGGCUCAUGUCAAGUUUGUGGUCAACCAAGACUCCUAGAUCCUUUUCACAUGUACUGCUCUCAAGCCAGGUGUCUCCCAUCUUGUAUUUGUGCCUCUCAUUAUUUUUGCCCAAGUGCAAUACUUUACAUUUCUCCCUGUUAAAAUUCAUCUUGUUUGUUUUUGCCCAGUUCUCUAAUCUGUCAAGGUCGUUUUGAAGUGUGAUCCUGUCCUCUGGGGUGUUAGCCACCCCUCCCAGUUUGGUGUCAUCUGCAAAUUUGAUGAGGAUGCCCUUGAGUCCAUCAUCCAAGUCAUUGAUAAAGAUGUUGAAUAAGACCGGGCCCAAGACAGAACCCUGUGGCACCCCACUAGUCACUCUUCUCCAGGAUGAAGAGGAACCAUUGAUGAGCACCCUCUGGGUUUGGUCAGUCAGCCAGUUACAAAUCCACUGAGUGGUAGCAUAGUCAAGACCGCAUUUUACCAGCUUCUUUACAAGAAUAUCAUGGGGCACCUUGUCAAAUGCCUUGCUGAAAUCAAGGUAGGCUACAUCCACUGCAUUCCCUUCAUCUACCAGGCUUGUAAUUCUGUCAACAAACGAGAUCAGGUUAGUCUGACAUGACUUAUUUUUCAGAAAUCCAUGCUGACUAUUGGUGAUCACAGCAUUCCUUUCUAGGUGCUCACAGACUGUUUGCUUAAUGAUCUGCUCCAGAAUCUUCCCUGGUAUUGAUGUCAGACUGACUGGGCGGUAAUUAUUUGGGUCCUCUCUUUUCCCCUUUUUGGAAAUAGGGACAACAUUUGCCCUCCAGUCUGCCGGGACUUCGCCUGUUCUCCAGGAAUUCUCAAAGAUGACUGCCAGUGGUUCUGAGAUCACAUCUGCCAGUUCUUUUAAUACUCUUGGAUGCAGUUCAUCUGGCCCUGGAGACUCGAAUACAUCUAAACUAGCCAAGUAUUCUUGUACUAUCUCCUUAGUUAUUCUGGGCUGUGUUUCCUCUGCUGAAUCAUUUGCUCCAAAUUCUUCAGGUCGGGCAUUGUUUUCUUUAUCGGAGAAGACUGAGGCAAAGAAGGCAUUGAGGAGUUCAGCCCUUUCUGUGUCCCCUGUUUGCAUUUCACCAUCUUCUCCUCUGAGUGACCCCACUGUUUCUUUGUUCUUCCUUUUGCUACGAACAUACCCAUAAAAGCCUUUUUGUUGCUUUUAACCUCUCUAGCAAGCCUGAGUUCAUUCUGUGCUUUAGCUUUUCUGACUUUGUGUCUACACGUGCUGGCUAUUUGUUUGAAUUCCUCUUUGGUGGUUUCCCCUUUUCCAUUUUUUGUACACAUCCUUUUUUUAAUCCUAACUCAGUUAAAAGUUCUUUAGAUAGCCACCCUGGCUUCUUUAGGCACCUUCCAUGUUUCCAUCUCAUUGGUAUUGCCUGAAGUUGUGCUUUUACUAUCUCCCUCUUAACAAACUCCCAGCCAUCAUGAACUCCCUUUCCUUUUAGUAUUACUGUCCAUGGGAUCUCACCCAGCACUUCCCUAAGUUUUAUGAAGUCAGCUUUCUUAAAGUCAAGAAAUUGAGUCCUAGUAUGCUUGGCUGCUCCUUUCCGCUGUAUAGUAAACUUCAGAAGAGCAUGAUCACUCGCGCCUAAUGAUCCUCCCACUUCUACCCCACUAACCAGGUCAUCAACAUUGGUUAGGACCAGAUCUAAAAUGGCUGUUCCUCUUGUUGCUUCUCCCACUUUCUGGACAAUGAAGUUGUCUGCAAGGCCAGUGAGGAAUCUGUUUGACCUUAUGCUCUUGGCUGAGUUUGACAUCCAACAAAUAUCCGGGUAAUUGAAGUCCCCAUUACUACUAUCUCCUUCCUUUUGCAUGCUUGGCCAUCUGUUCCAGGAAGGCAUCAUCUAUGUCCUCCGUUUGGCUUGGGGAUCUAUAGUAAACUCCCACAAUGAGGUCACUGUUAUUCUUCUCUCCCUUGAUUUUGACCCAAAUGCUCUCACUUUGGCUUUGAGGUUCUAAAUCUUGGAUCUCUUCACAGGUAUACACAUCCCUGACAUAUAACGCCACUCCUCCUCCUUUCUUGUCUGGUCUGUUUCUCUGAAAUAGAUUGUAUCCCUCCAUUAUUACAUUCCAAUCGUGGGACUUAUCCCACCAGGUUUCAGUGAUGCCUAUUAUGUCAUAUUUAGUUUGCUGUACCAAGAGCUCAAGCUCAUCUUGUUUAUUUCCCAUGCUUUGCGCAUUAGUGUACAGACAUUGAAGUCCAUUAAUCAUUCCCCGUGACUCUUAUUUAAGGAUUUUUCCUCCCACCACUAGGUCUGCGUGCUGUUUGCUCCAUUUGGUCUAUGACAUUUGGAUGAUCAUCUUCAUCAAUUGAUAGACUCCUACCUUCAGGAGCACUGUCUCCCUCCCCACAUUAGUCAGUUUAAAGCCCUCCUGAUGAGGUUUCUGAGAUUUUGGCAAAAACAUUCCUCCCAACCGUUGUGAGGUGCAGCCCAUCGCUUGCCAGAAGUCCAUCUUCAAGAAACUGCAGUCCGUGAUCUAAGAAUCCAAACCGUUCCUGUUUACACCAUUUGCGAAGCCAGCUGUUCACUUCCACUAUUUUCCCUCUCUCCCUGGGCCACGUCGUUCAACUGGGAGGACAGAUGAGAUGACAAUUUGUGCAUUUAAUUGCUUCAAUUUCCUGCCCAGAGCCUCGUAGUCUCUUUUGAUCUUCUGGAGGCUAUUGCUUGCAGUGUCAUUGGUUCCCACAUGAACCAAGAGGAGGGGGUAUUUGUCAGUGGGUUUUAUGAUUCCUUGCAGUCGUUCAGUUACAUCUUGGAUCUUAGCCCCGGGGAGGCAGCACACUUCCCGAGACAUCUUGUCAGGCCCACAGAUCACUGCUUCUGUUCCCCUCAGUAGGGAAUCCCCUAUCACCACUACAUGCCUCCUCUUAGGUUUGGUCGGGGUUCUUCCGUGAGCUGUCCGUUCCAAGGUCGCCUGCACAUUCCCUGAGGACUGACUUUGCUGCUCAUCUUCAUAUACCUGAUCGACUGUAAUGAGGGAGAGAUCCUCAAAUGGAGUCUGCUCUUCGUCUUCCAUGCUAGGGGAGAGGACCUCAAAGCGAUUGUGUAUUUCUAAACAAUCAGAGCGAACCCUGGGCCUCCUACUUCUUUGAGUCACAUUUCUCCAUGUAUCUGGCUCCUGUGUUGGUGAACUAGUCUCCUUCUCAGGGGAGUCCCCUGUCUCCUCCUUGGUGGAGACGGUGUGCUCUGUUGCUUCCAAGAAGAGCUCCAGCUCUCUAAUUCUUUGGAGCGUAGCUACAUGUUCCUCCAGUUGCUGGACUUUGUCUUCUAAGAGGGCAAUCAACAUGCAAUUGCUGCAGGUAAAGCUGCCUGCAACCUUUGGCAAGAUGGCAAACAUUGUGCAGGAACCGCAGGCGACUGCAGCUGUUCCCUCCCCCUCCAUCUUGAGAACGUGUCGUUGGGGGUGGCUACAGUGGUCCUCCAUCAUAAAAAGCGUGAAGACAGGACAAAUAACUUCCCCCCCAAAAAAACCUAGGUCUCCCCCAACAAACGUUUGAGACUAGCUCCCCUAAAUCUAAAAGAUGGAUCAAACUGCGCGCACCGCUAGGCGCGCGCCGCUGCCCUGCAAGCUCUGAUAAGCUCCUCCCACAGCUAAUCACCUGCCUCAACAGAAACCCUGCCCCCUCUGACCUUUGCACAGGGAGAGCAGCUAAUCAGCCACAAAGAAACACACACACACAAGAAAACCCUUUUUGCACCUUCUUCAGCUUACUUCCCUUGUAAGCCCAUCCCCUCAGUCUCGAGACACAGAAGGUUAACCCUUAACUACACCCAACAGAAAGAAGGAAAAAUCAGAAUUUAACAGAAAUAAUUUAUUAUAGAAUGCAAGGGGAAAAAGGUAGAAAGAAAUAUAAAGAAGUCGAAUUGCUGUGGAGGGAAGUAGAGGGUGGGUGGUGGGUUUUAUAAUUAAGUGUAUAAUUAUGCAGCUGUUGUAAUUUAGAUACUAUAUUUUAUGUGAGGGAAUCAUUGGGAAUUUUGGUUAUUAUGUAUAUAUGUUAAGUUUCAAUAAAGAUCUUUGGGGGGGGACUACCCUCAGACUAUUCAAGGGGGAACCCCCCCCCCAAACCCCAAUAUGCUAAAAACAGGCUAAAACACAUAUAAGUUCCACAUGUCUGAAUAGGCCUGCCUAAACAAAAAUAUUUUAAGCAGGUAUCAAAAAGUAUAAUAAAGGUGCCUGCCUGAUACUGAUAGGGAGUUCUAAAGUGUUGGUGCUUUUCUUUUGAGAAUUUCUUUCACAAUAAUAAGCAUGCACCAGAGCCAAACAGCAGUUAAAAUAAAUUUGUGCCAUCACCUCACUAGCCCAUGAACAAAAUUUGCCCUUAACACUUCCUUCUCACUUUAUGCUGCAUAAACCCACUCCACUAACAUAAGAGAUUGGGCUGGGGGCGGCAAGCAGAUACACCUGGCCUUUGUCACCUGAAAUGUAUAUUUUCAUAUCAUAGGGUAGUUUACAAUAUAAAAACACAAAAACACAGCAGGAAAGUGAAGAGGGGAUUGUGAAUCAACUGAAAGGAAAGUGGGAACCAGUAGAUUCCCCCUGAAGAAUGGGCUGUUUGGCUGCACAUUUGAUUACACUUGGAAAUAAGGUCCCCUGUAAAUAUUCCCAAAUAAAUUGAUUAUAAGGACUAUUCCCCACCCCCUUGGAGCUGAAUUGGCCCUGUAUUCCUUCCGAAUACUUAAGCCGGGAAGCAGAGUGAUCAUGCCUGUUAUGAAAAGGUCCAAAGUUAAUACAGUGGUACCUCGGGUUAAGAACUUAAUUCGUUCUGGGGGUCCGUUCUUAACCUGAAACUGUUCUUAACCUGAAGCACCACAUUAGCUAAUGGGGCCUCCCACUGUUGCCGUGCUGCCGGAGCACGAUUUCUGUUCUCAUCCUGAAGCAAAGUUCUUAACCCGAGGUACUAUUUCUGGGUUAGCUGAGUCUGUAACCUGAAGCAUAUGUAACCUGAAGCGUAUGUAACCCGAGGUACCACUGUAAUAACAUCUGCCUCUUCCUGAGUGCUGUCCCUUUGAGGUGUACCUCCUCUCAGGGAAUUGCAUCAGGCAUCAGUCCAGAUUUCUUUUAAAACUAAGCUACAUUCUUAUUUCCAGAAAUAACAUCUCCAUGUGAAAUGUUCACCUAUUAAUACUUGGAGAUAACACUCAAAACAUAACUAUUGGUAAGUAACCUCUAUUUCUUUCUUGAAAAAAAGCAAUAGAAAAAGUAACCUGAACUGAAUUAUUUGAACCUUGGACUUUUUCUGGAAAUAAUACAAUAAAACAAUGAGAUUGAUCUGAUGCAAUCUCUAAUUUCAUAUUGGAGUAUACCCUGAGGGUGGUUAGAAAGUAAAUUAUUGUGUACAGCGGAAGCACUGGCAAAAUUCUAGUACACCACCUAAUGUGUAUUGAGUGCUGGAAUUCUUGGAAAGAACUUCGGAUUAGGUGACUAGUAGGAAGGCAUUUUUAUGUUCUUAAGCAAGACUGCAGCGCAAGUUCUUAAGACAUAGUUUAAGAGAUGCCAGGUAUGCACUCUUGCUUUGCAUAUUUAACAGGUAGUGGUGUUCUUUGAGAAUCAUAGGUUGAAUAGAAAGGGCAAACAAUGCAGAGCUGAAAUAUUUGGAAACUUGUUAGACUAAAAAUUAUAUAAAAAUGAAACAGCCAGGUAGCAAAAUAAGUACCCAAUUAGUAAGUGUCUUAUCUUACAACCAGUUAAUAGUUCAGCAAUCCAAAGUGACUUUUAUAUUGCUAUUUUUAGUGCUGCUAUUUUUGGAUACUAACCUGCUGAAUAUUUAUGUUACUCUGUGAUGUCUUAGGGUCUUUAGUAAAAUCAGAUCAGGUGUCAGUUGCAUGUUUUAUAUUACAUUUUAAAGCAAUUUCUACUAUCAGGCUGGAAAGUUUCCUCCUCUAUUUAGGGGGAAAACACAAUUAAGGAAAACAUUUGGUUUUUAAGAUCCUUCAGAUAUGUAACUCAAAAGUUUAUACGUGCAAAUAAAUAAAUAGGAAUGUGGAAUUGUAAAAAACCCCAAAACCCUUGGGUCAUGAUGUCAUACUUUAGGAUGUGUGGGCAUAAUUUUACUGUUAAUGUGGAAUUCCUUUUAAGAUGCAGUAUGGUGUUGUACAAGGCCAUAAUCAGUAACAAUAUUCAAAUGGAUGAACCAUGAGCUCAGCUGAAUAUUUGUUUGAUGCUACUGUUGCCGGUCUCAUUGUCCAAUAAAUGAGUCCCUCUUUAGCGUUAUAAUCAGUCUCUCUCUUUGAAAGUAGGAACAGCUAUGAAGGCAGCAGAACAUAUGGUUCUGAGCAUACCCGUUGCCCCACUGAAGCAUAUUAUUGCACACCAUCCCAAUUUCAGAGCAGUACAAGAUUACUGUACUGGAGUUCUAGGCACUCAAUGGGGGUUUCUGUUUCCUUUUGGAAAUGAGGCACAGUGGAGACUUGUAUUUAUAAUAUGUGGCUUAUUUACACAUAUAUACAACCAGUACCUACGAUGGAGGUGUUCACAACAUCAUCACCCCAAAAGGGUCUUGCUUCUUCCUUAGUCAUAGCCUUGGAUUCAAACAGAAAUCAAACAUUGUGUUCUGACCCUCCCCUCAGCUUUCCAGCUUGCUGCUUUCCUUCUAAGUGAAGUUAUUGCUUCCUAACCUCUCUGUUCUAAACUCUGGCUUUAUUUGUUGAGGGAGAGGGGCCCACCCAUUUGCUGUCUCACACUGAGCCCUCAAUCCUUUGUUCUCCUAAUGGACCAGGCAAUUACCUCAUCAGGAAGCUAGCCUGGCUUAUUUUUUAAACACCUGCUGGACCUUGGGGUUCACUAGGCUUGAUUAGAUUUCAACACAUAUUGGAUCUGGGGAUUAAAAGGGUCCAGCACCUACAAACUUACCGGUAUAAUAUUAUUACGGUAUUUGAGCAGCUCCAUUUUCAGUUACCUUUUUAUUGGUAAGAAUUCUCAGAAGAUAACCAUAUUAGUUUGCUAUGGCAAAAACAACAAUGAAGAGCCAUGUGGUACAGUAAGUCAAGUCCCAAGCAAGGUGGAGAACUUAAAGGUUUUUCCACACCAAGUAUGCUUGGGAUUACCCAGCUUGAAAAACUCUUUUAAGUUGUUGCUUUGCUUGCUGAGCAAGGCUUGCUCCCAACACUGGCUUUGGGAUACUCUCACAAGAUUUUGCGGUACAAUCAGAGCUCCCUUGAGAUCUUGUGUGAGCAUCCCUAGCCCUCUAGAGCCAACAUUGUGAGUGGGCAUUGCCUCUCAAGCAAGGCUGAGAGCUUAAAACCCCUUUUUGUACUGGGUAACCCAAGUUGACCUGGGACUCAUCUACACUUGUGGUUUUUAAUACUAAAAAUGAGUUUUAAAAUGGUUAUGAUAAUCCUAUAGCCAUAUGAUAUUCUUUUAAAACGUCAAUACAGUGGUACCUCAGUUUACGAACAUAAUCUGUUCCUGAAGUCCGUUCUUAAACCAAAUCCGUUCUUAAACUGAGGCGUGCUUUCCCUAAUGAGGCCUUCCACCACCAGUGCCCUCCCACCGUUCGGCUUCUGCUCAUAGACCAAGGUAAAGUUCGCAAACCGGAACACUACUUCCAGUUUUGCGGGGUUUGUAAACCAAAUAGUUCGUAAACAGGACUGUCCGUAAACCGAGGUACUACUGUAAUGCGUUAUUGAAACGUGACACCAGAGGGUGCUGCAUAAUCCACUCCUCAUCAAAUAAGAGGGUAGACCUUGUAGAAAAGGAAGCGAAAGAGAAACCAAAUUCCUUUUGUUUUCGAACGCUAUAAAAAACAUUGUUCUAAGAACAUUUAAAGAGUGAGUAUAGAUCCAUUCCUGGUGUGAAAAGAGCAUUUAAGCACUCAGCUGUGCGUGGGGAUGCAGCACUUUAAGAGCCAGGGAUGUUCUUGUGAAGACUUGUGGGAUAAUCCAAGUUCUUGUCAGCUCUCAAGAGCUAGUGCUGUGAGUGGGUCUUCCCCAUCAAGCAAGGCUGAGAGCUUAAAAGCUUUUUUUAUGCUGGGUAACCCAGACCCAUCACAAAAGAGCUUCUAAGUUCUUGGCCUUGCCUGCAGAAGGAAAGCCCUGUUUAGUGCACAGGCUUUGGGAGUACUGGAGAUGCUCUCUCUCACUCUUCCUCACCUGCUAGCUAUGGGGCCACUCAGAGUAUUGGAAUAUAUGCAACUUACACAUAUAUGCAUAACUUUUGGAAUCAAACACCCAUGUAAGAUGAGGGAUUACUGUACUUUAAAGACUGGAAAAUUUAUCAUAGCACAAGCUUUCAUAGACCAGAGUCCACUUCUUUAGAUGCAUGAAGCAUCAUCCUAAAUUGAAGGGAUGGAUAUAAAAGGAUAUUGGUCUAAAUAGAUGUAAAUAAAAAGAUGAAGUACAGAAGUUAGCAUAAUAUGAAAUGCAAAAAAUGCAAACUGUGACAAUUAUUGUGAAGCUGAAAUAUAUGUAAAAUAAUCACAAAAACUUUUCACAAAUCUUGUGUUGAUAACAAUUUUUUUGGCACAGGUAAGCUAAUAAAUACAUAUAGUGAGAGAAAUGAUAUUACAGUAUAAUGAUUCCAGACACAGGCGAUAGAAUUUAACUUCAUGAUAAAUUUUAAUAGUUACAUACUGGAGAGUUACUUUGAAUUUCCUGUGUUCACAAUUGGCUACUUUAAGGUAAGUUGCUGAUUUUCUUUGGAGCCUGUCAGCUUUGCACCAUAUUUCAUGAAUGCUUAUGCCAUUAUAGAUUUGCUGGAGUUAAAGGUACAACAAAACUUACUGUACAAACUUUUUCAAUUUAUCAUUAAAUAAACAAUGUGUUCAAUGCU
Podarcis lilfordi (Lilford's wall lizard) is the source of this 10553-nucleotide non-coding RNA. Lineage: Eukaryota; Metazoa; Chordata; Lepidosauria; Squamata; Lacertidae. The record is from the annotation of a GenBank genome assembly.